Molecule: ribosomal RNA, 301 nt
Filed under: uncultured bacterium
Lineage: Bacteria
Description: partial 16S ribosomal RNA
Rfam family: Bacterial small subunit ribosomal RNA
Source: RNAcentral
CAGCAGCCACGGGAAUAUGAAGGGGGCUAGCGUUGUUCGGAUUUACUGGGCGUAAAGGGUGCGUAGGCGGAUUGUUAAGUCAGGGGUGAAAUCCCAAGGCUCAACCUUGGAACUGCCUUUGAUACUGGCGAUCUUGAGUCCGGGAGAGGUGAGUGGGACUGCGAGUGUAGAGGUGAAAUUCGUAGAUAUUCGCAAGAACACCAGUGGCGAAGGCGGCUCACUGGCCCGGAACUGACGCUGAGGCACGACAGCGUGGGGAGCAAACAGGAUUAGAGACCCCUGUAGUCCCUGUCUCUUAUAC